Molecule: ribosomal RNA, 506 nt
Filed under: uncultured bacterium
Lineage: Bacteria
Description: bacterial SSU rRNA
Rfam family: Bacterial small subunit ribosomal RNA
Source: RNAcentral
GAUUAUGGCUCGAGGACGAACGCUGGCGGCGUGCUUAACACAUGCAAGUCGAACGAGAAUCACCGGAAAGAGGAUUCGUCCAAUGGAAGGUGAGGACAGUGGCGGACGGGUGAGUAACGCGUGAGGAACCUGCCUUUCAGAGGGGGACAACAGUUGGAAACGACUGCUAAUACCGCAUAACGCAUCGGAGUCGCAUGGCUCCAAUGCCAAAGAUUUAUCGCUGAAAGAUGGCCUCGCGUCUGAUUAGCUGGUUGGCGGGGUAACGGCCCACCAAGGCGACGAUCAGUAGCCGGACUGAGAGGUUGAACGGCCACAUUGGGACUGAGAUACGGCCCAGACUCCUACGGGAGGCAGCAGUGGGGAAUAUUGGGCAAUGGGCGCAAAGCCUGACCCAGCAACGCCGCGUGAAGGAAGAAGGCUUUCGGGUUGUAAACUUCUUUUAAGAGGGAAGAGCAGAAGACGGUACCUCUAGAAUAAGCCACGGUUAACUACGUGCCAGCAGCCGC